GAUGAACGCUGGCGGCGUGCUUAACACAUGCAAGUCGAACGAUGAAGCCCAGCCUGCUGGGCGGAUUAGUGGCGAACGGGUGAGUAACACGUGAGUAACCUGCCCUUGACUCUGGGAUAAGCCCGGGAAACUGGGUCUAAUACCGGAUAGGAGCGCCUGUCGCAUGACGGGUGCUGGAAAGAUUUUUCGGUCAUGGAUGGACUCGCGGCCUAUCAGCUUGUUGGUGAGGUAACGGCUCACCAAGGCGACGACGGGUAGCCGGCCUGAGAGGGUGACCGGCCACACUGGGACUGAGACACGGCCCAGACUCCUACGGGAGGCAGCAGUGGGGAAUAUUGCACAAUGGGCGGAAGCCCUGAUGCAGCGACGCCGCGUGAGGGAUGACGGCCCUUUCGGGUUGUAAACCUUCCUU
RNAcentral lists this ribosomal RNA (412 nucleotides) under Micrococcus luteus. RNAcentral's name for it is "bacterial SSU rRNA". It matches the Rfam family "Bacterial small subunit ribosomal RNA", at positions 28 to 437 of the family's 1533-position model. Lineage: Bacteria; Bacillati; Actinomycetota; Actinomycetes; Micrococcales; Micrococcaceae. The record is from RNAcentral.